RNAcentral lists this ribosomal RNA (430 nucleotides) under uncultured bacterium. Its description in RNAcentral is "bacterial SSU rRNA". It matches the Rfam family "Bacterial small subunit ribosomal RNA", at positions 355 to 775 of the family's 1533-position model. The record is from RNAcentral.
UGAGGAAUUUUGCGCAAUGGGGGAAACCCUGACGCAGCGACGCCGCGUGGGCGAUGAAGCUCCUCGGAGUGUAAAGCCCUGUCAGGUGGGACGAAUGUCGGGAGGAAGAACACACCAUCCCGGCUGACGGUACCACCAGAGGAAGCCCCGGCUAACUCUGUGCCAGCAGCCGCGGUAAUACAGAGGGGGCGAGCGUUGUUCGGAAUCACUGGGUGUAAAGGGUGCGUAGGCGGUCAGUUAAGUCUGAUGUGAAAGCCCUCGGCUCAACUGGGGAAUUGCAUUGGAAACUAGCUGGCUGGAGUACUGGAGAGGGAAGCGGAAUUCCUGGUGUAGCGGUGAAAUGCGUAGAUACCAGGAGGAACACCGGUGGCGAAGGCGGCUUCCUGGCCAAGUACUGACGCUGAGGCACGAAAGCGUGGGGAGCGAACGG